RNAcentral lists this transfer RNA (76 nucleotides) under TM7 phylum sp. oral taxon 346. Its description in RNAcentral is "tRNA-Met". It matches the Rfam family "tRNA". From Rfam's summary of the family: Transfer RNA (tRNA) molecules are approximately 80 nucleotides in length. Their secondary structure includes four short double-helical elements and three loops (D, anti-codon, and T loops). RNAcentral also lists the same sequence under 25 other names. The record is from RNAcentral. Lineage: Bacteria; Candidatus Saccharimonadota.
GGGGGCGUAGCUCAGGGGUUAGAGCAGUCGGCUCAUAACCGAUUGGUCGCUGGUUCGAUCCCAGCCGCCCCCACCA